Long non-coding RNA from Lytechinus variegatus (green sea urchin), 648 nucleotides. RefSeq lists it as uncharacterized. The record is from RefSeq and is a predicted model, not a curated record. NCBI's taxonomy places the organism in Eukaryota, Metazoa, Echinodermata, Echinoidea, Temnopleuroida, Toxopneustidae. The transcript is spliced from 4 exons.
UAAAUCAUAUUUUUUUUCUUAAUUUUAUUUUUCAUUUUCAGGACUCUAAUGAUAAAUGCUGGAGCAGUGUUGAACUUCAAGUUUAAAAAGAGAGGUGACAAAGUUGGCUUUGAUGACAAUAUUGGCGAACCAACAACAGGUGAUAAAGUUCGUGAAUUUCUUCUGAAUCUGAGAUACUUCAGGAUAUUCAUUGCUUUAUGGAACAUAUUGAUAAUGUUUCUCAUGUUGGUAUUCUUUGGAUCAUGACGCUUUGGUCACAAACAUCAUGAUAAGGCCUGGAAUGAGUCUGCAAUAGAACAAUACACAAAGUGAUCGGUUGCGCAUCGUGGAAAACAUUGUGAUAUCUAUCCAUUUGGACUGUGUUGAAAGACAGGAGAAACAAGAAGGCAAUAACUUGUGGAAAGGAGCUAUAUUGGAGACACAUCCACGGUUGGAGACUUUGCUGCGCUAUGUGUGGGGUUGACACUUGGUAUAGACCACUGAAGAAGUUGCAGCCGCUAAUGUAUGUGCCUUUGAUGUUGACAUCUGUAGGAUGUAUACUCCAGAAUCAGUAGCUCUCGCUUCAAAUACUCCUGGGGGCCGUUUCAUAAAGCUGUUCGUAAGUUUAGAGCGAUUUUAAGAACGACUGGAGAACCUUUCUUACGCGUU